This 277-nucleotide unclassified non-coding RNA is filed under the name Exophiala alcalophila. RNAcentral's name for it is "partial internal transcribed spacer region". The stretch from base 1 to 46 matches the Rfam family "Eukaryotic small subunit ribosomal RNA", at positions 1786 to 1831 of the family's 1831-position model. The record is from RNAcentral. Lineage: Eukaryota; Fungi; Ascomycota; Eurotiomycetes; Chaetothyriales; Herpotrichiellaceae.
AAGUCGUAACAAGGUUUCCGUAGGUGAACCUGCGGAAGGAUCAUUACCGAGUUAGGGUCCUCUGGGCCCGAUCUCCCAACCCUUUGUUUAUUAUACCUUUUGUUGCUUCGGCGGGCUCGUUGUCUCACGACGACCGCCGGAGGACCGCUUAACGGCGUCCUCUGGUCCGCGCCCGCCGAUGGCCCCAAAAUCUCAAAAUUCUUGUAUGAAUCGUGUCUUUACCUAAGUCUUGAUUUAAUCAAAAACAAAACUUUCAACAACGGAUCUCUUGGUUCUG